GUCCACGCCGUAAACGAUGGAUACUAGCUGUUGGGAGCAAUUUCAGUGGCUAAGCGAAAGUGAUAAGUAUCCCACCUGGGGAGUACGUUCGCAAGAAUGAAACUCAAAGGAAUUGACGGGGGCCCGCACAAGCGGUGGAGCAUGUGGUUUAAUUCGAUGAUACGCGAGGAACCUUACCAAGGCUUAAAUGUAGUUUGACCGGUUUGGAAACAGACUUUUCGCAAGACAAAUUACAAGGUGCUGCAUGGUUGUCGU
This 255-nucleotide ribosomal RNA is filed under the name uncultured bacterium. RNAcentral describes it as "partial 16S ribosomal RNA". It matches the Rfam family "Bacterial small subunit ribosomal RNA", at positions 793 to 1055 of the family's 1533-position model. The record is from RNAcentral.